CGAGAAGACCCUAUGGAGCUUUAGGCACUAAGACUGAUCAUGUAAAAAACCUCUUAUAAAAGAAUAUAACUUUGUGAAAGCAGUUUAAUUGCCUUUGGUUGGGGCGACCGAGG
This 113-nucleotide ribosomal RNA is filed under the name Meuschenia hippocrepis (horse-shoe leatherjacket). RNAcentral describes it as "partial 16S ribosomal RNA". The record is from RNAcentral. Lineage: Eukaryota; Metazoa; Chordata; Actinopteri; Tetraodontiformes; Monacanthidae.